UACGAAGGGGGCUAGCGUUGCUCGGAAUCACUGGGCGUAAAGGGUGCGUAGGCGGGUCUUUAAGUCAGGGGUGAAAUCCUGGAGCUCAACUCCAGAACUGCCUUUGAUACUGAGGAGCUUGAGUCCGGGAGAGGUGAGUGGAACUGCGAGUGUAGAGGUGAAAUUCGUAGAUAUUCGCAAGAACACCAGUGGCGAAGGCGGCUCACUGGCCCGGUACUGACGCUGAGGUGCGAAAGCGUGGGGAGCAAACAGG
This 253-nucleotide ribosomal RNA is filed under the name uncultured bacterium. RNAcentral's name for it is "partial 16S ribosomal RNA". It matches the Rfam family "Bacterial small subunit ribosomal RNA", at positions 524 to 776 of the family's 1533-position model. The record is from RNAcentral.